Molecule: ribosomal RNA, 480 nt
Filed under: uncultured bacterium
Lineage: Bacteria
Description: partial 16S ribosomal RNA
Rfam family: Bacterial small subunit ribosomal RNA
Source: RNAcentral
AUUGAACGCUGGCGGCAUGCUUUACACAUGCAAGUCGAACGGUAACAGGCCGCAUGGUGCUGCCAAGUGGCGAACGGGUGCGUAAUGCAUCGGAACGUGCCCAGUCGUGGGGGAUAACUACUCGAAAGAGUAGCUAAUACCGCACACGAUCUAUGGAUGACAGCGGGGGACCGUAAGGCCUCGCGCGAUUGGAGCGGCCGAUGUCAGAUGAGGUAGUUGGUGGGGUAAAGGCUCACCAAGCCAACGAUCUGUAGCUGGUCUGAGAGGACGAGCAGCCACACUGGGACUGAGACACGGCCCAGACUCCUACGGGAGGCAGCAGUGGGGAAUUUUGGACAAGGGGCGCAAGUCUGAUCCAGCAAUGCCGCGUGCAGGAAGAAGGCCUUCGGGGUGUAAACUGCUUUUGUACGGAACGAAACGGCUCUGGUUAAUACCCGGGGCUAAUGACGGUACCGUAAGAAUAAGCACCGGCUAACUACG